CAAUACUGUUCAAUGACAUAACUUUUACACUGUAAUAAUUUGUGAUAAUAAUGUAGCCCUGGAGGUGUAGCCAUCUAAAAUCAGGUUGCAACUGUGCAUAGGAAACAAAAGCCCUAAACCCAGAUUCCAGAGGGGCACAUACCAGCAGUGACCAGCUGUGACAACUAUAUGAUGGGUGUGGAGAUUAGGAACACGUAAUACAGGGUCAGCCGUGGGAGCUGAAGAAGCUGUCUGGGGCAGUAGGCACAUUGUCAGGUGUGUUUUUCUUAACAACCGUACCAAAACUAUUUUACAAUUAUGUGCAUCCUAGUUAAUAAACAUAAGCCAUUUCUAAAAAUUAAAAGAUCUAAAUUGCAUGUUGGCUUAUAAUAAAAUAUAUUAGAUCUACUUAAUAAAAUGAAAUACAAAUAGUGGUUAUUCUGGGGAACUGAGUUAUAAAAUAUGACUGUCUUAUUUAUUUUGCCAUUUUUUACAUUAACUUUGAAAUGUUCUGUGUGAUAUGAUUUUAUUCCUACCAGCACAUACAUUUCUUUGACAAUUCUUAGAGUGUGUGUAGGGGGAGGGGGACCCAACAUCUGGACAGCCCCACGUGUUGCCACCUGUUGAUGCUCUGCAUCCUGGAUGUGCCCCAAAGUUUCUGUAAGCCUGGUCUCCAAAACAGCAAGGGUCACAGGCAAGUCUUUAAGGAAUGAUUGGAUGGUGAGUACUCUGAUCUUUCUAGUGGCUCCAUCCACUUGAGAACUUUCACUGAUGGCUGAGUGGGCUCCUGGGCAAUGGGACCUUCUCGAGGGAAGUGGGCCUCUGGGGAAAGGCUGGAAAGGUUUGUCUUUUCCCACUUGACUCUAUAUGCUUUCCAACUUUGGCCGAGGGCAGCUGAGCCAGCCAGCAGUGGCCUAAGACCUCUGGGACCAUGAACCAAGGCAGAUUUUCUCCUCUACAUCAUUCCUGUCCAGUAUUUUGAUCAUAGUGAUGGAAAAUUAAGACACCAUCAUCAUAUUUUCUCCUAAAUCUCUUGGAUGGUGACUGUUAGGGGUACUUUUGAGGUGGCUCUCUCAAAUUAGUCGAAAAUCUUGUGGUCCAGAACUCCUAAUAGACAUAAAAGAAGAUUGUCAUCUAUUAUAAUUUUGGAAGACAGAACAAUCAGGAAUAAAAAGAAAAGUUACAACAUGUACUUAAAAAAAAAAAAAACCUGAGGAUGAGACUCUUCCUUCAGUGGUCUUUGGUGCCAAAUUUGAAAACCCAUUCUGAAACAGAUGGACUAAACAGUCUCAACUUAGUCUAUUUUUCCCAAUAAAUAUAAGCAACUCAGAGCAAGUAGUAAGACAUGAUAGAACGAGACCAAAUUUGCAGGAUACUCUACUACAGUAGCCCAUCAAAAAAAGAAAGCAGUUAGUCAAUCAAAUCACAGUUUGACACUUUGGUUUUCUUUUUAACUGAGUUGAUCUAUCAAACAGUCUGAAGAAAGUAGAUCAUGGGGAGAAAAAUAGCACAAAGCCAGAAAUCAAGAUUUGAAUCAGCUUCCACUUUUAAUUCUCUGCAACUGAUACUCCACGCAGCAGUGAGAAUGUGGGCUUCCAAUCACCAAUCAGGGGAUCUUGCACACAUGCUUAGAACCCUGGAGGGAUUUCCCAUUGCUCUUCAAGUCUAAAGCGCAUCCCCUUUGUCUUUCUGUUUUUCGAAGUUACAGGAUUUUUGCAUCAGAUGGUUCCAUUUGCACUGGAAUGUUCUUUCUGGGCUCUUGGAAACAGAUUUUACUCGAUGAGAUGGCUACACUGUGGGUGUGUGAAACACCAAGUAGAUCAACCAUAUUUCUGCUUUAGAAAUGUCUUGUAAAGAAUGACAUAGGAGGGUUGGGGAUGUGGCUCAAGCGGUAGCGUGCUCGUCUGGCAUGCGUGUGGCCCAGGUUCGAUCCUCAGCAUCACAUACAAAACAAAGAUGUUGU
Molecule: non-coding RNA, 1942 nt
Organism: Ictidomys tridecemlineatus (thirteen-lined ground squirrel)
Lineage: Eukaryota; Metazoa; Chordata; Mammalia; Rodentia; Sciuridae
Source: RefSeq, a predicted model, not a curated record